Molecule: ribosomal RNA, 403 nt
Filed under: bacterium
Lineage: Bacteria
Description: partial 16S ribosomal RNA
Rfam family: Bacterial small subunit ribosomal RNA
Source: RNAcentral
UGGGGAAUAUUGCACAAUGGGGGAAACCCUGAUGCAGCGACGCCGCGUGAACGAAGAAGGUAUUCGUAUCGUAAAGUUCUGUCCUAUGGGAAGAUAAUGACAGUACCAUAGAAGAAAGCUCCGGCUAAAUACGUGCCAGCAGCCGCGGUAAUACGUAUGGAGCGAGCGUUGUCCGGAAUUAUUGGGCGUAAAGGGUACUCAGGCGGUUUAAUAAGUCGAAUGUUAAAGAUCGGGGCUCAACCCCGCAAAGCAUUGGAAACUGAUAAACUUGAGUAGUGGAGAGGAAAGUGGAAUUCCUAGUGUAGUGGUGAAAUACGUAGAUAUUAGGAGGAAUACCAGUAGCGAAGGCGACUUUCUGGACACAAACUGACGCUGAGGUACGAAAGCGUGGGGAGCAAACAGG